AGGAGGAAGAAGGAAGUACAGAAUACGAAAGCGAAGAGGAUGAGAAAUCGGAGGAUAGCCAAGAGGGAGAGAACGAGUCGGGGAAUGAGUCUGAAGAGGAUCACAGCAGAGAUGAUGAAAAUGCCGCUUUGGUGAGAUGACAUAGUUACUUUUAUAUCUAUUUUACUUCGACGUAUCUUUAUUACCUAGACAAAGCACAUUACGGGCUGAUAACGAUCAACACAAUAGCCACAUAAUUUUGCUAGAACGUCUCUGUGACUGAGGCUCAGCAAAGCAAUAAUAAUAUGAAAAUACUGAUAUCCGAGUUAUGAGCAGGAAAACCCAGUAGUGUCGUGGGAUCCAUUCAAUCAAGCUUUUUUCAGGAGCACCCAAGAUAUCCCAAUAGCAGGCACACAGCCAGCACCCCUUCCCUCACAACUCUAAGCGUACCGGUAUGAUAUAAAUGUUGCCACCCAUGAUUUGUUAUAAGUACUAGUAAUAGUUAUUCUCGCUGUGUUUGGAU
This 502-nucleotide small RNA is filed under the name Histoplasma capsulatum. RNAcentral's name for it is "hypothetical RNA". Lineage: Eukaryota; Fungi; Ascomycota; Eurotiomycetes; Onygenales; Ajellomycetaceae. RNAcentral also lists the same sequence under 1 other name. The record is from RNAcentral.